AGCAGCGGUUGGCAGAGCUGCUUCAUUCGCUCAUUUCCUUUGCUGUGAGCCAACAUUCCCAGUAGCGUCAGGACAAUUUUAGAAGCAAAAUGCACUCAACUGAACUUCGUCUAUGAAGAGAUGAACAGGUGCUUAUAGCUGAGUUUUCAAGUCCAUAUAUUACCUUGAUGGCUUUUUUUUUUUUUUUUCUGUCUGAAAUGGAGCAAUUUUUGAAUAUGGGCAUUUAGCCAAUCCCCGAAUCUCAGGAAGCAGUCCCUCCAGAAUUUGUUCAUUCUGGGAAGAAAUGGAAAAGCAGAGAAGAAGAUAGGAGCACGUCUGCAGCACACGGAGAUCGUCUUUCUUCGGAUCCUGACAUGCAUCACGGGCAGACACGCAAUGAGCCCCAUGACGACCACCGGCUCCUGUCUUGCAGGGCUUGGUGCGCUACGUUCACAGCAGCUCUCUCGGGUACCUGCCACUACGUGUUAGUCAUCCUUUGCUAGAAGCCAACGUGCCACGGAACUGAAAACAUGCAAUUCGGUGCAGGGUGUGCUCUGACAGUUGUUUUCCCCUGUCGCUGCAUGAGUAUGCCCCCACCCGGACGUUUCAUGCUGAUGUUUCGUCGUGGAGACAUACUGACCUUUCAGAUGAUUUGUGCUUAACUGGAAGCAGGAGACUGGCCCCAAUUUAACAGAGAUAUUCAUGUGUUUAAAGCCAAGUCUAAAGAACCUUGCUGGGCCCUCCAGCACCCUCAGGACAGUGUCCUCACCUCCAACGUGACCUCUGGGACGUGGGCUCGGCCCCAGGUCCGCUCCCAGCUGGGCACCUACUCUGCAAACAGCUUCAAAAGGACGUGGUAAUGGAAAAUGGGGAAUCCGGGAUUUGCAGCAGUGAUGUUCUUAUGGAGUAUUCAACAUUUUUUUACUGCAGAAUAUAAUGGGAGAAUCAGUCUUAUGGGAAAAUAGGUUUAGGUUGCAAUCUGGGCAGUUAUAUUUUUAACUCCGUUUAAUGAGGUUAAUGGCUUUUGCU
This is a long non-coding RNA of Cygnus atratus (black swan), 1008 nucleotides long. RefSeq lists it as uncharacterized. Lineage: Eukaryota; Metazoa; Chordata; Aves; Anseriformes; Anatidae. The transcript is spliced from 3 exons. The record is from RefSeq and is a predicted model, not a curated record.